Molecule: transfer RNA, 87 nt
Filed under: Candidatus Nitrosopelagicus brevis
Lineage: Archaea; Thermoproteati; Nitrososphaerota
Also listed under: 2 other names
Description: tRNA-Ser
Rfam family: tRNA
About the family: Transfer RNA (tRNA) molecules are approximately 80 nucleotides in length. Their secondary structure includes four short double-helical elements and three loops (D, anti-codon, and T loops).
Source: RNAcentral
GCGGGGAUCGCCUAGCCCGGUAUGGCGUGGGAUUGCUAAUCCCAUGUUCGCAAGAACUCGGGGGUUCAAGUCCCUCUCCCCGCGCCA